UGAAUAAGAAUCGGUGUAGUUUUUACCAAACUUUGGAGCACCACCAGAAACCAAGAUACCAGGAAAAAUGGUAUCGCCCAAAGGUGGUAGAUUCACCAGGGCCCCAACAUCCCUUAAGGUAACAGACAUGGGGCUAAGAGGGAAAAUAAAGGUGUUAUACUCGGAAGACCAAAAACUCAAAGCAACCGAAAAGAGUGCUGAAUCAAAAGUAGGGGG
Molecule: long non-coding RNA, 216 nt
Filed under: Olea europaea (common olive)
Lineage: Eukaryota; Viridiplantae; Streptophyta; Magnoliopsida; Lamiales; Oleaceae
Description: long non-coding RNA (OEUR_LNC013734)
Source: RNAcentral